RNAcentral lists this ribosomal RNA (253 nucleotides) under uncultured bacterium. RNAcentral's name for it is "partial 16S ribosomal RNA". It matches the Rfam family "Bacterial small subunit ribosomal RNA", at positions 524 to 776 of the family's 1533-position model. The record is from RNAcentral.
UACGUAGGGGGCGAGCGUUGUCCGGAUUUAUUGGGCGUAAAGGGCGUGUAGGCGGCUUAUUAAGUCAGAGGUGAAAACCCAGGGCUCAACCCUGUGCGUGCCUCUGAAACUGUUAAGCUUGAGUGCUCUAGAGGGCAGUGGAAUUGCCGGUGUAGCAGUGAAAUGCGUAGAGAUCGGCAGGAACACCAGUGGCGAAGGCGACUGCCUGGGGAGUAACUGACGCUGAGGCGCGAAAGCUGGGGGAGCAAACGGG